This 301-nucleotide ribosomal RNA is filed under the name uncultured bacterium. Its description in RNAcentral is "partial 16S ribosomal RNA". It matches the Rfam family "Bacterial small subunit ribosomal RNA", at positions 509 to 807 of the family's 1533-position model. The record is from RNAcentral.
CAGCAGCCGCGGUAAUACGGAGGGUGCAAGCGUUAAUCGGAAUUACUGGGUGUAAAGCGUGCGUAGGCGGUUCGUUAAGUCUGUUGUGAAAGCCCCGGGCUCAACCUGGGAAUGGCAAUGGAUACUGGCGAGCUAGAGUGUGUCAGAGGAUGGUGGAAUUCCCGGUGUAGCGGUGAAAUGCGUAGAGAUCGGGAGGAACAUCAGUGGCGAAGGCGGCCAUCUGGGACAACACUGACGCUGAGGCACGAAAGCGUGGGGAGCAAACAGGAUUAGAGACCCCGGUAGUCCCUGUCUCUUAUAC